AGUGAACGCUGGCGGUAGGCCUAACACAUGCAAGUCGAACGGCAGCACAGUAAGAGCUUGCUCUUACGGGUGGCGAGUGGCGGACGGGUGAGGAAUACAUCGGAAUCUACUUUUUCGUGGGGGAUAACGUAGGGAAACUUACGCUAAUACCGCAUACGACCUACGGGUGAAAGCAGGGGAUCUUCGGACCUUGCGCGAUUGAAUGAGCCGAUGUCGGAUUAGCUAGUUGGCGGGGUAAAGGCCCACCAAGGCGACGAUCCGUAGCUGGUCUGAGAGGAUGAUCAGCCACACUGGAACUGAGACACGGUCCAGACUCCUACGGGAGGCAGCAGUGGGGAAUAUUGGACAAUGGGCGCAAGCCUGAUCCAGCCAUACCGCGUGGGUGAAGAAGGCCUUCGGGUUGUAAAGCCUCUUUGUUGGGAAAGAAAAGCAGCAGGUUAAUACCCCGCUGUUCUGACGGUACCCAAAGAAUAAGCACCGGCUAACUUCGUG
RNAcentral lists this ribosomal RNA (492 nucleotides) under uncultured bacterium. RNAcentral describes it as "partial 16S ribosomal RNA". It matches the Rfam family "Bacterial small subunit ribosomal RNA", at positions 29 to 507 of the family's 1533-position model. The record is from RNAcentral.